Long non-coding RNA from Cucumis melo (muskmelon), 664 nucleotides. RefSeq lists it as uncharacterized. NCBI's taxonomy places the organism in Eukaryota, Viridiplantae, Streptophyta, Magnoliopsida, Cucurbitales, Cucurbitaceae. The transcript is spliced from 5 exons. The record is from RefSeq and is a predicted model, not a curated record.
CUUUUGGCCUGAAAUUCAAGAACAAAAUAAAGCUCUAUCAUUUUUUAGAAUGAUCUAAAAAAGUAAGAGUGAAGGAGGAUAUUAAACCUUUUACAGUCCAACUUGCCUGCAAGGAUUGGUAAAGCCUGCUUCCAGGAAAUCUGGAGACAAGAGGGGUUCACUUAGUAACUUUUUUAACAGGAGAAUCGAUAGCUAAAAAUCAUUACAAAGGUAGGAGCUAGAGAAAUGGGUUAUUUGGAUAUCAAUGAUUCACUUAAAUAAGGUAAAUAGGAUUGUUCUCAGUCCAGCUUGCCAUCGAUAGUUUGACAUAACACUCCAUAUCCUUGGUUAUUUGAGCUUUGAGAUGUGAAGACUUGAAGAAAGCUCCCACAAGACCAUGAAUUCUCUUCUGCAAGCUCCCAUUUAUCAGCAAAAUAGAAGACUUCCCCAUCAAUUCUGUCAAAGAUUUCGGAUAAGACGGUACAAAGGCCUUGGCAUCACUCUGCAGAAUGAACUUACUGACUUCUGCAUCAGUAGAGACAAUGGCGACGACGCUUGUCCAUGAAGGUCUCGGGACGGUCCGAAUAAGCGCAGGAGAUGAACUCAAUAGUCUCACCAAUGAAAGGCCAGCCAAGAGAGCCCAAAGGAAGUUGGUUGCAGAAUUUUGAUCUGAGAAGUCUAAAGC